GGGCCCGUAGCUCAGUGGUCAGAGCGAGCGACUCAUAAUCGCCAGGUCGCAGGUUCGAUCCCUGCCGGGCCCA
This 73-nucleotide transfer RNA is filed under the name Actinomycetes bacterium. Its description in RNAcentral is "Actinobacteria bacterium tRNA-Met". It matches the Rfam family "tRNA". Rfam says of the family: Transfer RNA (tRNA) molecules are approximately 80 nucleotides in length. Their secondary structure includes four short double-helical elements and three loops (D, anti-codon, and T loops). Further hydrogen bonds mediate the characteristic L-shaped molecular structure. tRNAs have two regions of fundamental functional importance: the anti-codon, which is responsible for specific mRNA codon recognition, and the 3' end, to which the tRNAs corresponding amino acid is attached (by aminoacyl-tRNA synthetases). tRNAs cope with the degeneracy of the genetic code in two manners: having more than one tRNA (with a specific anti-codon) for a particular amino acid; and 'wobble' base-pairing, i.e. permitting non-standard base-pairing at the 3rd anti-codon position. Lineage: Bacteria; Bacillati; Actinomycetota; Actinomycetes. The record is from RNAcentral. RNAcentral also lists the same sequence under 1 other name.